This 430-nucleotide ribosomal RNA is filed under the name Bacillota bacterium. RNAcentral's name for it is "Firmicutes bacterium partial 16S ribosomal RNA". It matches the Rfam family "Bacterial small subunit ribosomal RNA", at positions 355 to 776 of the family's 1533-position model. Lineage: Bacteria; Bacillati; Bacillota. The record is from RNAcentral.
GGGGGAAUAUUUGACAAUGGGCGCAAGCCUGAUCCAGCCAUGCCGCGUGUGUGAAGAAGGCCUUUUGGUUGUAAAGCACUUUAAGCGCGGAGGAGGCUACUUGGAUUAAUACUCUAGGAUAGUGGACGUUACUCGCAGAAUAAGCACCGGCUAACUCUGUGCCAGCAGCCGCGGUAAUACAGAGGGGGCGAGCGUUAAUCGGAUUUACUGGGCGUAAAGCGGGCGUAGGCGGCUUCUUAAGUCGGAUGUGAAAUCCAUGAGCUUAACUUAGGAAUUGCAUUCGAUACUGGGAAGCUAGAGUAUGGGAGAGGAUGGUAUAAUUCCAUGUGUAGCGGUGAAGUGCGUAGAGAUCUGGAGAAAUACCGCUGGCGAAGGCAGCCAUCUGGCCUAAUACUGACGCUGAGGUACGAAAGCAUGGGGAGCAAACAGG